UGGCUAGGAUGGUAAAGCAUCUGUCUGCAAUGCAGAAGACCCGGGUUUGAUUCCUGG
Molecule: transfer RNA, 57 nt
Filed under: Bos taurus (domestic cattle)
Lineage: Eukaryota; Metazoa; Chordata; Mammalia; Artiodactyla; Bovidae
Also listed under: 2 other names
Rfam family: tRNA
About the family: Transfer RNA (tRNA) molecules are approximately 80 nucleotides in length. Their secondary structure includes four short double-helical elements and three loops (D, anti-codon, and T loops).
Source: Rfam by way of RNAcentral